This 746-nucleotide ribosomal RNA is filed under the name Staphylococcus gallinarum. RNAcentral's name for it is "bacterial SSU rRNA". It matches the Rfam family "Bacterial small subunit ribosomal RNA", at positions 49 to 777 of the family's 1533-position model. Lineage: Bacteria; Bacillati; Bacillota; Bacilli; Caryophanales; Staphylococcaceae. The record is from RNAcentral.
CUAUACAUGCAAGUCGAGCGAACAGAUAAGGAGCUUGCUCCUUUGACGUUAGCGGCGGACGGGUGAGUAACACGUGGGUAACCUACCUAUAAGACUGGAAUAACUCCGGGAAACCGGGGCUAAUGCCGGAUAACAUAUAGAACCGCAUGGUUCUAUAGUGAAAGAUGGUUUUGCUAUCACUUAUAGAUGGACCCGCGCCGUAUUAGCUAGUUGGUAAGGUAAUGGCUUACCAAGGCGACGAUACGUAGCCGACCUGAGAGGGUGAUCGGCCACACUGGAACUGAGACACGGUCCAGACUCCUACGGGAGGCAGCAGUAGGGAAUCUUCCGCAAUGGGCGAAAGCCUGACGGAGCAACGCCGCGUGAGUGAUGAAGGGUUUCGGCUCGUAAAACUCUGUUAUUAGGGAAGAACAUAUGUGUAAGUAACUGUGCACAUCUUGACGGUACCUAAUCAGAAAGCCACGGCUAACUACGUGCCAGCAGCCGCGGUAAUACGUAGGUGGCAAGCGUUAUCCGGAAUUAUUGGGCGUAAAGCGCGCGUAGGCGGUUUCUUAAGUCUGAUGUGAAAGCCCACGGCUCAACCGUGGAGGGUCAUUGGAAACUGGGAAACUUGAGUGCAGAAGAGGAAAGUGGAAUUCCAUGUGUAGCGGUGAAAUGCGCAGAGAUAUGGAGGAACACCAGUGGCGAAGGCGACUUUCUGGUCUGUAACUGACGCUGAUGUGCGAAAGCGUGGGGAUCAACAGAUA